RNAcentral lists this ribosomal RNA (211 nucleotides) under uncultured bacterium. Its description in RNAcentral is "partial 16S ribosomal RNA". It matches the Rfam family "Bacterial small subunit ribosomal RNA", at positions 524 to 728 of the family's 1533-position model. The record is from RNAcentral.
UACAGAGGGUGCAAGCGUUGUUCGGAAUUAUUGGGCGUAAAGCGCGUGUAGGCGGUCACGCAAGUCAGGUGUGAAAGCCCAGGGCUCGAACCCUGGAAGUGACACAUGAUACUACGUGGCUGGAGUACUGAAGAGGAGAGCGGAAUUCCCGGUGGUAGAGGUAGAAAAUUCGUAGAUAUCGGGAGGAACACCAGUGGCGGAAGGCGGCUCU